RNAcentral lists this ribosomal RNA (301 nucleotides) under uncultured bacterium. RNAcentral describes it as "partial 16S ribosomal RNA". It matches the Rfam family "Bacterial small subunit ribosomal RNA", at positions 509 to 809 of the family's 1533-position model. The record is from RNAcentral.
CAGCAGCCGCGGUAAAACGGAGGGUGCAAGCGUUAAUCGGAAUUACUGGGCGUAAAGCGCACGCAGGCGGUCUGACAAGUCGGAUGUGAAAUCCCCGGGCUUAACCUGGGAACUGCAUUUGAAACUGUCAGGCUGGAGUCUUGUAGAGGGGGGUGGAAUUCCAGGUGUAGCGGUGAAAUGCGUAGAGAUCUGGAGGAAUACCGGUGGCGAAGGCGGCCCCCUGGACAAAGACUGACGCUCAGGUGCGAAAGCGUGGGGAGCAAACAGGAUUAGAUACCCGUGUAGUCCCUGUCUCUUAUAA